RNAcentral lists this transfer RNA (87 nucleotides) under bacterium. Its description in RNAcentral is "tRNA-Ser". It matches the Rfam family "tRNA". From Rfam's summary of the family: Transfer RNA (tRNA) molecules are approximately 80 nucleotides in length. Their secondary structure includes four short double-helical elements and three loops (D, anti-codon, and T loops). The record is from RNAcentral.
GGAGAGGUGCGUGAGUGGUUGAAACGGCAGUCCUGGAAAGACUGUAUACCGGAAACGGUAUCGAGGGUUCAAAUCCCUCCCUCUCCG